This 468-nucleotide ribosomal RNA is filed under the name uncultured bacterium. RNAcentral's name for it is "partial 16S ribosomal RNA". It matches the Rfam family "Bacterial small subunit ribosomal RNA", at positions 28 to 507 of the family's 1533-position model. The record is from RNAcentral.
GACGAACGCUGGCGGCGUGCUUAACACAUGCAAGUCGAACGGAAAGGCCCUGCUUUUGUGGGGUGCUCGAGUGGCGAACGGGUGAGUAACACGUGAGUAACCUGCCCUUGACUUUGGGAUAACUUUAGGAAACUGGGGCUAAUACCGGAUAGGAGCUCCUGCUGCAUGGUGGGGGUUGGAAAGUUUCGGCGGGUGGGGAUGGACUCGCGGCUUAUCAGCUUGUUGGUGGGGUAGUGGCUUACCAAGGCAUUGACGGGUAGCCGGCCUGAGAGGGUGACCGGCCACAUUGGGACUGAGAUACGGCCCAGACUCCUACGGGAGGCAGCAGUGGGGAAUAUUGCACAAUGGGCGGAAGCCUGAUGCAGCAACGCCGCGUGCGGGAUGACGGCCUUCGGGUUGUAAACCGCUUUCGCCAGUGACGAAGCGUGAGUGACGGUAAUGGGUGAAGAAGCACCGGCUAACUACGUG